AUGAUUCCAUAGCUGCCGGUAAUACCAGGAGUUUAACCACAAGACUGCAGUUUCUUCACAGAUCAUGAGAACUGGCGGUGAAGCAGAGGCUUUCGAAAAAUGUGCCUAGGGGACUAUCUUUGUCUGAAUAACAAUAACCUUUUAGGACUAGGUGUAACGCUCCUACAGAGUGGGUGGCAGGAAGCCAGUCCUUCUUUGGUGGUGGUGGACAUUAGCCUGAGGCCAAGAAGAAAAGGCCAAGCCUCCAGUUUUCCACGUGGGCCCUCUCUAUCUGUCAUGAUUGAGCUUUACACUGAUUUAAGCCUGAAUUUCUGCUUGGACUAAAAAUAAUUAUCAGCAUUUAUAAUGCCACAUGCACAAAGGCUGUCCUUCUUGACUCACCACAAUUAGGAGAAUUGAGGAUGUCACCUCCACUUUCCAGAUAACAAGACUGUGCUUCACUGACAUUAGUGGAAGCUGAGGUUUGCUGACUUUUGCACAAGUAGGACCCACUGCCCGGUCCCUGCAUAGGGCGCCAGGUGAUGGAUUUGAAGGUGCAGUGCAUACAUGCUACUACUGCCAGCACCAUACCCACAGGAUUCCACUCCAUGAUAAAUUCAGUUACCACCCAGGAUUUAUACCCAUUAUUUUUUCUUCAUUUGAAAAUAUUAUGGACAAUACAAACA
RNAcentral lists this long non-coding RNA (665 nucleotides) under Fukomys damarensis (Damara mole-rat). RNAcentral describes it as "lncRNA (ENSFDAG00000029680.1)". The record is from RNAcentral. Lineage: Eukaryota; Metazoa; Chordata; Mammalia; Rodentia; Bathyergidae.